RNAcentral lists this long non-coding RNA (818 nucleotides) under Homo sapiens (human). Its description in RNAcentral is "HSALNT0110791". Lineage: Eukaryota; Metazoa; Chordata; Mammalia; Primates; Hominidae. The record is from RNAcentral.
GAGAGACCUGUGAGGCGCGCGGCGGGGCCGGGAGGAUGCCCUGGACAUCAUUCCGAACAGCACAAUUCAAGGGUGGCUGAAACAACAAAAAUGUAACGUCUUACAGAUCUGAAGGCUUCCGGGUCGAUUCUGGACUGUGAUGAGAAUCUGUGCCAAGCCUCUCUCCUGGCUUCUGGUAGACUCGGGCAUUCCUUAGCUUGUAAAUGGCUGCUGCUUGUGUCAUCACAUUGUCUUCCCUUUCUACUUAUCUGUCCCCAUGCCCCAAUUUUUCCUUUUCAGGACACCAGUCAGAUUAGGACCCACCCUAAUGAUCUCAUCUUAACUUGAUUAACUACAAGGACCCUAUUUUUAAGUACACAUUUACAGAGACUGGGGGGUAGGACUUCAACAUCUUUUUGGAGGGAUGCAGUUCAACCCAUAACAAGAAUCAUUGUUAGAAAUGAUUUUGCUUCUUCACUGAAAAAUUAAUAUCAUUCUGCAGAGAACUGACUUGCUGCACAUGGCACAGAUUUUUUGCAUUUAUCAUAGUAAAAGAAAUCAGUCACAAAAGUUUGUUUUAGACUGCUACAUACCUAUCACAAAUACAAAUUAUUUCCAACAUCAAAAGUUAAUAAAGCAAGCACUGUCACCCAAAUUAUAUUGUAUCUAUUGAGCACUCCCUUAUGUACAGAAGAGGAAAAUGAGAAAUGAACAGGAAGUUUAACAUUCAUAAAAACUGUUGGCUGGGCGCGGUGGGUCACUCCUGUAAUCCCAGCACUUUGGGAGACCGAGGUGGGUGGAUCACCUGAUAUCAGGAGUUCAAUACCAGCUGGCCAACA